This is a non-coding RNA of Podarcis lilfordi (Lilford's wall lizard), 5709 nucleotides long. The record is from the annotation of a GenBank genome assembly. NCBI's taxonomy places the organism in Eukaryota, Metazoa, Chordata, Lepidosauria, Squamata, Lacertidae.
CAGCUUGACAAGAUGAAGUCUCUUGACUCUUGAGGUCUCUGCUGUCAGGCAUUAAGCCAAGAAGCCACGAUAAUAUUCCUUCUGACUGUCACACAGCAGGUGGUCUGUAAAGAGGCUUCUAUUUUUCAAUGCAGAAGCAUUUAUCCAUGAUACUGACUCAGGUAUUCCAUGAAACAUGAAUGUUUCUCUUUUUAUACAUCCUUGUUCAUGUCCUAUCUGUGAUGUAAAAUUUAUGAUGGCCAUUUCUACUUCCCUUAUUGAUGUAAUCACUGACGUUGUAAGAAUCAACGUAUAUGUAUAUGUGAUCUGGCCUUCAGAAGAAUAACUGAGAAAGCAAAGAAAGACUAAGACAGGUAAGAUUCAGGUAGGUAGCCAUGUUGGUCUGAUGCAGUUGAUAUAUAGAGAGAGAGAGAGAGAGAGAGAGAGAGAGAGUCCAGUAGCACCUUAGAGACCAACUAAGUUUGUUCUUGGUAUAAGCUUUCGUGUGCAUGCACACUUCUUCAGGUAUUCUUCAGGUAUCCAAAGAAGUGUGCAUGCACACAAAAGCUUAUACCAAGAACAAACUUAGUUGGUCUCUAAGGUGCUACUGGACAAUUUUUUAUAUUUUUAUAUAUUAAGACAGGUAAGGACAUUUAUCACUAAAGUCACUAAGAAAAAAACAUUCACUGACUCACAUAGUGAGUGAAAUCCAGCAUGUCAUGGCAUCUGGUCAUAACCAUCUCCAUCUUUAGCUUUUAAAUGCCUCCUUUGUCAGGGGCAAGCCAGCAAUAAAUCACACAAAGAAGCAAAGUUAACCCUUUAUUAGAAAAAUCAGGAUCUGCACAAGAGUGCCAGACCUAAUGAGGACAGCAACUCUUUUCUGGUAGGCCUUGCCCCUAUGAAGCAGUUGCAGAGACUGAAGGUACACAGGCUGAGACCCUACCUGCCUGUGGACUGCCUCGCCAGAGUGAUGCAUGCUCUGGUUAUCUCUCGCUUGGACUACUGCAAUGCGCUCUAUGUGGGGCUACCUUUGAAGGUGACCCGGAAACUACAACUAAUCCAGAAUGCGGCAGUUAGACUCGUGACUGGGAGCAGCCGCCAAGACCACAUAACACCAGUCUUAAAAGACCUACAUUGGCUCCCAGUACAUUUCCGAGCACAAUUCAAAGUAUUGGUGUUGACCUUUAAAGCCCUAAACGGCCUCGGUCCAGUAUACCUGAAGGAGCAUCUCCACCCCCACUGUUCUACCCAGACACUGAGGUCCGGCGCCAAGGGCCUUCUGGCAGUUCCCUCACUGCGAGAAGCCAAGUUGCAGGGAACCAGGCAGAGGGCCUUCUCAGUAGUGGCACCCGCCUUGUGGAAUGCCCUCCCACCAGAUGUCAAAGAGAAGAACAACUACCAGACUUUUAGAAGACAUCUGAAGGCAGCCCUGUUUAGGGAAGCUUUUAAUGUUUGAUGGACUACUGUAUUUUAAUAUUUUGUUGGAAGCCUCCCAGAGUGGCUGGGGAAACGCAGCCAGAUGGGCUGGGUAUAAAAAAUAAAUUAUUAGUAUUAUUAUUAUUCCCACAGCUGCCUAAGCCCCCUCUUCUCCAGGGUUUCUCCAAAGCAAACCCAGACUGCAUGUGCAAAGCACUAAUUUCUCCUCCUUCUGCUCCUGUGGAAUUCCCUCCCAGUUGAGAUUAGAAAACCCCCUCCUUGCUGAACUUCAGGAACAUGACCAAGUCUUUCUUGUACCGGUGGGCAUUUUAUGGAAGUGCUCAGUAUUGGGGUGGUGCGGGAUCCUUCUACAUGCUAGUGGGUGCCUUGUGCAAUAGGGGCUCCUGAGCACAUGGUGGAAUCUGUAUAAUUGUGGCCUGUUUCUCCUUCAGACCUUUACCCAAUGCACAGAGGUCAAGGUGUGUGGUACUGUGGGUAUGGCCUAUAACAGGGCCUGCUGCCCCCGAGACAACCCUGUAUUGGGAAGUUUUUAAUGUUUUAUGUUAUGCUUUGUUCCUUUAUAUUUUGUGGGAAGCUGCCCAGAGUGCCUGGGGCAACCCAGUCAGAAGGGUGGCAUAUAAGUUGUGGUGGUGGUGGUUGUCAUGUUAACCCUCCAUGUGACCAGUGUAUAAAGAGGGCUAAAAUCUUAGUAGGGCUAAUAAUGUAAGAAGACAUAGACAUGAUGGCCAUACAGUGUCAUGCUGCAUAGAGGCAGGUUUUAUUAUUGUUGUAAAAAUAAAAGGUUGCAGCAGUGUUGCAUAUCAUACCUGCACAUAUCAGGGCAUGGCUGCAGGUAAAUGGAUGGAUUGCCAUUGUGCCUGAUCCUGCAGCCAUAUUUUCCACAAGAGACAGAGAGCGGGUGGGGGCUCAUGCUCUCCUCCCUUCUUUGUGAGAUCAGAAGCAUCUGCUUACACUUUUAAAUUAAAUACAGUUCUCUGUUAUGAUCGAACAGGGAGAACUUUGGUUAAUUUAAACUAUAGUUUGCUCAAACAAGUCAGAAUCAAUCUAGUUUAUGAUCUUGGCUUGUUAACAAACUAUAGUAUCUAGAGCAGGCAUCCCCAAACUCGGCCCUCCAGCUGUUUUGGGAUUACAACUCCCAUCAUUCCUAGCUAACAGGACCAGCGGUCAGGGAUGAUGGGAAUUGUAGUCCCAAAACAGCUGGAGGACUGAGUUUGGAGGUGCCUGAUCUAGAGUUCCUCUGUUCAGGCACAACAACAACAACAACAUCAAGCUGCCCUCUAGUUUGUUUAAAAUGAGAAAUGCAGUCUUUUGAUUACUUUGCAGCCACAGAUGAGCAUUACAGGUGUGUGUUUAAGUCCAAGGUUCACAUUGAUCCAAUGAUACCAGCUUUUCAAAGUCUGACAGUCAUUUGCACUUCUAGCACAACCCCUGCUGCUGCUUAGCACCCACUAGGUAAUUCCACUCUCUACCCCACCCACUUAGGGAACUACUGAUUUAGUGUUAUGUAGAAAACACACCCUUGAGAAUAUUCAAGGAAACAGCAGUUGCAUCAGAGCCACUUCAGAUAUCAUCAUUUAGGGACUGCUAGGCAAUGACCGUAGGAGCUGGUCACCAAAUUGGACUGCCAAUCUUUACUGUACUUCAGGCUGCCAAAGAGACAGUUUGCAGUGAUAUGAGAGGGGGAUUAGAGGUUCUAUUCAAGGAUGCCACAAAUAACUGAAAUGGGGAACACACUUCAGUUACUCAUGAGUAGGUCCAGUUUGAGCAGACUAUAAGCAGGGCCCUAAUCAAACCAAACUCUGAGUGCUUGGCUUCCACCUCAUUUAUUUCCCACAAAAUCUAUACACUGCUUGAUUGUAAUGCAAAUCUCAAAGUGGUUUACUUACAUAAGGCAUGAGGAGGAGAGGUUUCCAGCUCCACUUUCCUUUCCUCCUCCACAAAAUGAGGUUUUAAAGUUAUUUUUUUUAGGAAAAGCACCAAAAAAUCAAUACUCCUGAUGUGGGCUUCCCAGGUUUUCUGACAUUUCAGCCAAUUUUCAAACAUUCCAUCUGGACGCCAUUUCCAACUGGUGAAUCCCAGCUAUGUCCAGGAAAUUACAGACGUAUGGCAGCCCUAUCCUAAUGCCACCUUCAUCAGGAAGGCAUGCGCCACCUAGGAACUGCCUCCACCUUUCUUCUGCCCCAAGUAAGCGUGGUAAGCCAUGGAGGGAAGGAGUUGGGAGAGGAGGUGGUGGAAGAGGAGGAGAUAGUUGCAGAGGUGGAGGCAGCUGCCUAUUCACCUGUGAGUGUUUUUGUGUGGCUUACUUGGAGUGCAUGUAAAGGCCAAGUCCCUCUGGGGCAAGCAAAGGGAUGCUGGAGUAUCCCAAGUUUCCCCUAAGGAGCAGUGGCACACACACAGCCCACUAGCAAUUAGCUUUAUCAAUAUGGACAUCUUCAUUUCCUCAGAGUGCUGGGCCCAUGUGGCUCCAGAGGCUGGGUGUGGCUCUGCUACGGCUUCCCUGAGGAGCAGGGCACCCAAAUGAAUAUUUGCUUUUUAAAGAGGGAAAUUGUGGCGACUGGGCUGCAUUAGUCUCAGAAAGCCAAUGCUGAGUGCUGAUGCCUCACCUCUUUCCCACCACAUUGCCAUCCCUUAUCAUCUGCUGCUGCAUCAAGGGAUCUUUUGAGACCACCUGGGCUACCUGCUCCUGGACUUGGCCCUGCAGCCCAUCAGUUAUGGUACCACUGUCCACAGUACUAAGAAGAAAAUUAUUAUCCUGCAGGUGAAUGAGCUGCAUGGCUUUAGAAGUGUGAUCAAUAUCCAUGCAUAUAUAAGCAUAUCAUUUCUGCUUGACCUCAAGAAAUAGAAGAGUAAGCAAUGGCUUAUAGCAAAGAGGAGAAAUAAAUAGAAAGAUGGCUUUAGUACAACUUUGUGCACUGCUACCCAUACAGGCAUCAGCUUUUAACUAUCCAGGCCAACUAUCUGGCCAUUCCCUUACCAAAGGAUCCGACAUUCAGUAAGUCAUGGGUCAAAGCCAACAGUAAUAAUCGCUUUAUGACUUUUCAUUGGCAGUGUGGAUUGAUGCUUCUCACAAGUUGGUCUUGGAGACUGCACAGUUAUUUUCGACUUGGCAAAAGACUUGGGGGAGUCUUUGCAGGCAAUUAGUGUCACUAAACACCCUUCCUCCCGCAACAGCAGACACAAGAUGAAAGACAGCCUGCUCUGCACACGAACAGAAACUCAGAUUGAUCUGUUGACAGGUGGAGAGUCAUGUUUUUUGUGCCUCUCUUGCAUGGGACUUCUCUUUCCCAGAUAGCUUAAAAGAUGCUUGCUGCAGAGAACUCAGAGAGAUGCUUGUUGCAGAAGCAGCUAGGCUGAAUAAUUUAGCAGCUCUUCCCCUUAAAAGGAACUGAUUGCAUCAGAGCUGUUGCCUGUUUACAAUGGGAGGGGACAUGCCCAAUAUACUUGUCUUUGCACCAUUUCUUAAGAUAUAACUUUUUAACCAUUCAUGAAAAAACAAAACACUCUGCUGGAUCAAACCAAAGCCAGUGUAAUCCAGCAAAAUCUAUGUAAUCUACAAUGGCCAACCAUUGUGGAUACAUGUACAGUGGUACCUCGGUCUACAGACGCUUCAGGUUACAGAUGCUUCAGGUUACAGACUCCAUUAACCCAGAAAUAGUACCUCGGGUUAAGAACUUUGCUUCAGGAUGAGAACAGAAAUCGUGCAGCAGCGGCACAGCAGUAGUGGGAAGCCCCAUUAGCUAAAGUGGUACCUCAGGUUAAGAACAGUUUCAGGUUAAGAACAGACCUCCAGAACGAAUUAAGUUCUUAACCCGAGGUACCACUAUAAUCCACAAUGGCCAACCACAAAAAGCCCAUCCCUGCUUCCCCCUAGAUGUUUAUUUAGCUCACAUGUGCAAUGCCUAAAUAGUGCUUCAGUUGGUGCCCAUCUUAAUGGUGGCAAAUUCCCAAAGUUAGCUAUGUGUUGCAUGAAAUAGCAUUUUAUUUUGUACCCCUCUCCGACUCUUGUCCUUGGUGGCAUCUGCUGCUUUUACACCAUUUUGUUUUCCUAGCAGAUGCUGCUCUUUCCUUGGAGCAAUCAUGUAGACGAUCUUGUCCAACUGGAGACUAUACAGGGAAUGGAAUGAUGACACAGUGCUUCAGAUCUGUGAAUACAAAGACAAAAUAGGGAGCAAUGUGAAGAGGGAGCACUGGACUUCCUCAAAGGGAGAGGGGUUUUAUUUCUUUAUAUGUGUAUUCACCAGCAGUCUUGUACCAAGCAUUGCUCAGGAAUUCUAAUAAAUCAAAAACUUGGUG